RNAcentral lists this ribosomal RNA (253 nucleotides) under uncultured bacterium. RNAcentral describes it as "partial 16S ribosomal RNA". It matches the Rfam family "Bacterial small subunit ribosomal RNA", at positions 524 to 776 of the family's 1533-position model. The record is from RNAcentral.
UACGAAGGGUGCAAGCGUUACUCGGAAUUACUGGGCGUAAAGCGUGCGUAGGUGGUUUGUUAAGUCUGGUGUGAAAGCCCUGGGCUCAACCUGGGAAUGGCAUUGGAUACUGGCGAGCUAGAGUGCGGUAGAGGGUAGUGGAAUUCCCGGUGUAGCAGUGAAAUGCGUAGAGAUCGGGAGGAACAUCUGUGGCGAAGGCGACUACCUGGACCAGCACUGACACUGAGGCACGAAAGCGUGGGGAGCAAACAGG